CCUACGGGUGGCAGCAGUGAGGAAUAUUGGUCAAUGGGCGAGAGCCUGAACCAGCCAAGUCGCGUGAGGGAGUACUGCCCUAUGGGUUGUAAACCUCUUUUGUAGGGGAGCAAAAUCCGGACGUGUCCGGCUGUGAGAGUACCCGAAGAAAAAGCAUCGGCUAACUCCGUGCCAGCAGCCGCGGUAAUAGGGAGGAUGCGAGCGUUAUCCGGAUUUAUUGGGUUUAACGGAUGCGCAGGCGGAUUUUUAAGUCCGUGGUAAAAUCGUGGGUGUCAACCCCAUCAAGCCGUUGAAACUGGGGAUCUAGAGUGUGCGAGAGGUAUGCGGAAUGCGUGGUGUAGCGGUGAAAUGCAUAGAUAUCACGCAGAACCCCGAUUGCGAAGGCAGCAUACCGGUGCACAACUGACGCUCAGGCACGAAAGCGUGGGUAUCGAACAGGAUUAGAUACCCCGGUAGUC
This 458-nucleotide ribosomal RNA is filed under the name uncultured bacterium. RNAcentral's name for it is "partial 16S ribosomal RNA". It matches the Rfam family "Bacterial small subunit ribosomal RNA", at positions 338 to 795 of the family's 1533-position model. The record is from RNAcentral.